GAGAGUUUUUUAAAUCAUAUAAAUACAGAUGAAUACAAUAAUCCUGUGCCUUACAAGCAGAGGGUCGGCGGUUCGAACCCGUCAACUCCCA
RNAcentral lists this transfer RNA (91 nucleotides) under Spirosoma profusum. RNAcentral's name for it is "Spirosoma sp. BT702 tRNA-Val". Lineage: Bacteria; Pseudomonadati; Bacteroidota; Cytophagia; Cytophagales; Cytophagaceae. The record is from RNAcentral.